GAUGAACGCUGGCGGCGUGCCUAAUACAUGCAAGUCGAGCGAACGGACGAGAGGCUUGCUUCUCUGAUGUUAGCGGCGGACGGGUGAGUAACACGUGGAUAACCUACCUAUAAGACUGGGAUAACUUCGGGAAACCGGAGCUAAUACCGGAUGAUAUUUUGAACCGCAUGGUUCAAAAGUGAAAGACGGUCUUGCUGUCACUUAUAGAUGGAUCCGCGCUGCAUUAGCUAGUUGGUAAGGUAACGGCUUACCAAGGCAACGAUGCAUAGCCGACCUGAGAGGGGGAUCGGCCACACUGGAACUGAGACACGGUCCAGACUCCUACGGGAGGCAGCAGUAGGGAAUCUUCCGCAAUGGGCGAAAGCCUGACGGAGCAACGCCGCGUGAGUGAUGAAGGUCUUCGGAUCGUAAAACUCUGUUAUUAGGGAAGAACAUAUGUGUAAGUAACUGUGCACAUCUUGACGGUACCUAAUCAGAAAGCCACGGCUAACUACGUG
This 497-nucleotide ribosomal RNA is filed under the name uncultured bacterium. RNAcentral describes it as "partial 16S ribosomal RNA". It matches the Rfam family "Bacterial small subunit ribosomal RNA", at positions 28 to 507 of the family's 1533-position model. The record is from RNAcentral.